GCCUCGGCCUCCCAAAGUGCUGGGAUUAUAGGUGUGAGCCACCGCACCUGGCCAGAAGUAUACUCUUGAAAGAGUUAUGUAACCUCACCACACAAAGGUUACAUUUUAUUCUACACAUAAUAUAUGUAGAUAUAUGCUAUACAUGUUGCAUGUGGCCACCAAAACAUGGAAUAAUCCAUAGUUAUAACCUGCAUUUUCAGUUAAUAUAGCAAGGAUGGCUUUCCAUCUUAGUAAAGACAGAUUGUGUAAUAUUAAUAAAUACAGAUUUAAAUGAAUGUCUAUACAUCACACUCUCAUUGAGGAACAUGAAGGUGGUCUCUUAUUUAUGCUAGAUUGUGCUAUAAUAUAGCAAACAAGUUAUAGAACUUCUGGGUCAAGAAGUGUUGAAAGAGCUUUUAAAAUAUUUAUUCCUAUGGUUUCAGAUCAGAAAACUGAUUCUCAGAUGAUUUUAGUCCUGAUCUCUAAUGUUCCAGAUUGACUUCGCAGUGGAGUGGAUGGUAAACUAUUAGCCGCUCUUCUGAUUAAUAAACCUUCUCUCCAAAUAGGAUACCUGCAGGUUGCCUGGCACACAGGAUAAGUUCAAUGAGUUUUAUUGAAUGGAUGAAUUACUGAAUAAGAAAAAAAUGAUGGUUAAAGGUAGUUAGAUAACUAACAUUGCUGAGUAAUCACUCCUACGAAGUAGCAUUCUGUAAAACUCUAAUUCUGUAUGUCUCCUAAUACUGUUACAGACAGCUAUGCUUGUCUCUUAUUUGGGGGACUUUUUAUGGCUUCUGGCAUAAAGGAGAGAUGGUGAAAAUGAUGCUCUGUCCCCAUCCAAUUGCUUAUCCAUCCCUUCCAUCAUUUAUUCAUGCCUUCAGUAAUUUGGGUGCAGUUUCUACAUGCUCACCAGGCCAGAGCACCAGGACGGGCCCUCACCCGGGCUGUAACACCAUCAUCACUAGUGUCCAAUCCCUAGUUCUUCAUGCUGGAAAACAUUAUCAUUUCAUUUCUUGUAAAGCAUUCACUAUUCAUUAACACUCAGGAACUUGUGGGUCUUUUGUCUCUAGAAAUUCUCCUGUUUUUAUAUGGGUUUUUUUAAUGGCUGUUUAUCAGUAACUUAAUGAUCAUUUUAACCUAUAGUACUUCUACUUGGGGAAUUUAUUAAAUUUUAUCUCGCUUCUUUAAGAGAGAGCUUACAUUUUAUUCACGUUUGUAAUUUUUAUGCCAUCAACUGUGAGGUCUUAUUCAUUAAAUUGAAUUUGAAAAUACCCACUGAGAAUAAUUUGCCGCUAAAGAAUAUAUUUAAUUACUCACUUAUACUUUCUGGAAUGAAGCAAAGAAAUGUUAAUAAACACUAAUUUAAACUAUAGAAUAAUUACUAAUAUAGUUGCCAUUAUUGUUAUAUGUGAAGAUUUGAAAUUAGCAACCUAAUUUUAAAUAAGAAAAUCAUUAGUACAUAUCAAAAAAUAUUCAAAAAGGAAAGAUAUCUAUAAAUGUCCAGUUUUAUAAUCAAGUUUUUAUGACUCACAAGUUGAUCCAUUUAGAGUUGCUCUAGUAUUCUCAUUUCAGGAAUAGAGAAGUUCCUCCAUCUCUUUUUUUCUGAUAACAAGAACUCUGAUAUCAGUUUCAUAGGACAUCGUGGAAAUCAGGGAACACCAAGCUGAAGUGCCAUGUGGUGAGAUUCAUCAGCCUCAUUAAUGCAAAACAGCCCAUGUGUCAUCUUUGUAUUCUAAAAGCUGCAGGAAGAUGACCUCCCAGUUUUCCCAUAAACAGUCAUGUGGAAAAUAAGUCUUCUUUCUGUGAAGGAGAAAUGCUUCUUUACCCCUCACAGUUCUCUAAGUUAGAAGAACAACACAAGUCUCACUGGGCUAACCUCGAGGUAUCGGCAGGGCUGGCUCCUUCUGGAGGCUUCAGGGAAGCAUCCAUCUCCCCACUUCUCCAGCUUCUUGAGGCCGUCCGCACUCCUGGGCUUGUGGUCCUGCUCCAUCUUCCAAGCCAGCAACAGCAGAUUGAGUUCCUCUCACUUAGCAUCACCCUGAACUUCCUCUACUGUAGACAAGUCUUCCUCUUCCUCCCUCUGCUGUCUCCACCUUUGUGAUUACCUUGGGCCCCCAAGAUCAUCCAGGGUAGCCUCCCAUCUCUAGAUCCCUAAGUGAAUCAAUCACAUCUGCAAAGUCUCCUUUGCCAUGUGAGGUAACCUAGUCAUAGGUUCCAGAGAUUUGGAUGUGAACAUUUUUGUUGGGGCAUCAUUCUGCCCAACCACAAGCAUGUACCCGGCACUCACCACAUGUGGCAGUUAGUUGGUGUGUACUUUCUCUACCUGUAAAUCCCUGGAUGGAGAACAUGAUUUUUUCUCUCUACAUCUCUUUGCAUUUCAUCUGGUUCACUUAACCUGAUCCCCAGUGUCUUAGUCUGUACAGUGUGGCCGUAACAGAAUACCUGAGAUGGGGUAUUUAUUUUAAAAAAAAUAAUAGGUGGGUUUAAGUCACAGUUCUGCAGUCUGGGCAGCUCAAGGCCAUGGCCCUUGGUUCUGGCAAGGCAAGGGCUUUUGUGGUGCUGCGUCAUAACAUGGCAGAGAAGGUCAAAGCGUAAGUGGACACGAGCAAAGAGAAGACCAGAGGGGCCUCCUGGCUUUGUAACAAACCACUCUCAUGGGACUAUUCCAUUCCCUGGAGAACUAAUUCAGUCUUUCCAGAGUGAGACCUCACUACCAUGAGAACAGCACCAGGCCGUUCAUGAGGGAUCUGCAUCAGUGAUUCCAACACCUCCCACUAGGCCCCACCACCCAACACUACCACAUUGGAGACCAAAUUUCAUCAUGGGCUUGGUGGGGAAAAGCCAACCAUACCCACACCAUAGCACCAGCCUGGGACCCAAAUGCACCAAUAAAGGGAAUGAGAAAGCCUAGAACUGAACCAUCCAGCAGUCAGAUACCAAAGAGAUCCAAAAAGUUAAACAAUCAUGAAGAAAAAGCGUUGAGAGGGUGAGACCUCAGGCAAGUUCAAGGCCAACAGCUGGCACCAAUGUGGGAAGAUGAAGCCUUGCAUAAACAUAAGCCCAAUCGUUAUUUCUCGUGUAAGGACUUGACAAUUAGAAAAAGUGCAAAGAUGGUCCAAACCUCCUAGAUGAUGCUUUCUUGCAGGGUGAACUUUGGUAAACACUGGGGGAUGGAGGAGAGAGGAAUCUGCCUUCCAGGCUUGUCAGGUUUGCUCUUAAUCAUCCUGAGAACACAGGGUCUAAUGGAGCAUCUGUUGGUCGUCUGCAUGGCUGUGAUAUUUUACUUUAUCAUUUCCACCUAACACUUUUAUAAGUAUUUUUAUUCUCCAUAAAACAGGCUUUUAAGAGCAUUUACAAAUUAAUCACAUUAAAGACUUAUUAUCUGUUCUCUUAUGAUACACCUAUUUUGAUAUGGUGUGAAGAUAAUUGUUAUAAUCUCUAUUAAUUACAUACUGGCAUUCAUUAAAUAUGAAAAUGUUCAAUUGUUUGAAAGAAAAUGACUGGCCUUUUUGAACAUUAAAGAGUAUUCUGUUUUAUUGCAUUUUUACACUAAAUGAUUAGGCAAAAAGUUUUUACUAGACAUUAGUAUUUUUAUUUAUUAAAUUUCAGUCCCCUUAGAAGAACUCAAGGUAUUAGCCAAUUGAAUUCAAACUUGUACCACUUAAAGAUACAAAUGUAAAUAAUCUGAGAAGGGAAAAACUAAGUAUAGAGGGGGAGAGUAGAGAAAAGGCAGUAACACAUUUAGACUUGAGGCAAGAACAGGUGUUUUUGUCUUAAGACACCAGCAGGGCUAGGCACUCAAUAGAUGCUCUCCAACCAUUCGUGGCCCAGCGGAGUGAAUUGAAGAGUGGGUUGGCAGUGUUGGGCGGGAGAGCAGCAAAGGUUGCUUCCCUGGCAAACCUGAGGAGGAGGAAGAGGAGAAGCAGCUGCCAUGGCCACGUGGGAAGAAGAGUCAGGGACAGGCAGAGGGAGGUGCAGGGAGCCCCUGGGAGACAGGAGCUGCAUCACAGCAGUCGAACACGAAUUCAGCUCUGCCAGGGGCCCAGAACCCUGUCUGCUAGUUUGCCUGAGAUCAAGAAUGUGUGCAGAAAAUUCCAGAAAAUGCAAGCAAAAAAUUAAACAGAAUCAACUUUGUAGCCACCACCCCAAAUAAUUAAACAAUAUUUUAAAAGCAAGUAACAUUUUAUGAUUUUUAAAAGGCAUUAAAUUACAUUUGUUGGAAGGGGGAUUAAUUGCAGCAGAGUACGGCCGCUUGGCAAUGACAAAUGGAAACCCCACGUAGGACUUGAUGCAGAGUAGAUCUAAUAGGGAGCCGCUGAAGUGAUGUGACUUUGGGGAUGCAGGGAAAUCCCCUUUACUUAGAAAAAAAUGACCUUUAUUUAUACACACAUGUGCAAGUGUGAACACACGAUCAUUCACUACACAAUGAUUUUCCAUUAUUUUAAACUAAACAAUGACUUGUUUUUCUGUUGAAGUGAAAAGGCCCCUUGCAUGUCACCUGGAAAAGAAGGAGAGCAUUCAAGGAAGGUUUGGGGAACUUUGUUACGCGUAGGGGAAAAAACAAAAAUUUGUAUCACUACCUCACACCAUCAAUUCCUAAUAGUUUGUGUGGAAGGCAAUAUAUUAAAACUCCAAAACGAUAAGUGAAUACCUUUAUGAUUCUGGGAAUGAAAUAACAUCUUAAGAACUAAAAGCACUACCCAUAAAAGAAAUUAUCGUUAAACUUGACCCUAUUACAAUUAAGAACUUCUGCUCAUUAAAUAAUAGCAUUAAAAAGGUGAAAUUGCAAGACAAAUAUUGGGAAAAGACACUUGCCACACCAAUAACCAACAAGGGAUUUGGACCUAGAAUACAUAAAGGACUCUUAAAAUCAAUUUCUAAAAAAGACAAUCUAAUUUUAAAAAUUUUUAAUUAAAAAAAAUUGGGCAACAAAUACAAGCAAGAAUUUCAUAGAAGAAAAAACUCCAGUGGUCAGUGGAAAUAUGAAAAGAUGCUCAACCUCCUUAAAAACAUAAGUUUAAACUACAGUGAUACAAUUUAAAAGUUGGUGAGGAUAUAGAUAAUGGAAAUCCUUACCCGUUAUUGAUGGCAAAGUAAAUUGCCUCAGCAGCUUUGGAGAACAAUCAGGCACUGUGUAUUCAGUAAAGCAAAACACUUGUGUAGCCCAGGGGCAGCAACUCCACUCUUAGGCGUGUUCAUUAUAGAAACUUGCAUGCAUCUGGGCACCAGGAACUGUGCUCGGGGAAGUCCAGAGCAGCUUUGGAGACAGCCCAGAAGUCAUUAUAGAGAAAAAUGGAAUAUUAUACAGAAGUGAAGAUGGCUGUGCCUACAUACUAUAGAGCAUGGAUGAAUUUUAGAAACAAAAUACUGAAUGAAAAUAAACAUGUAGGCCAGGCGCGGUGGCUCACGCCUGUAAUCCCAGCACUUUGGGAGGCUGAGACGGGUGGAUCACGAGGUCAGGAGAUCCAGACCAUCCUGGCUAACAUGGUGAAACCCCGUCUCUACUAAAAAUACAAAAAAUUAGCCGGGCGUGAUGGUGGGCACCUGUAGUCCCAGCUACUCGGGAGAGGCAGGAGAACAGCGUGAACCCGGGAGGCAGAGAUUGUAAUGAACUGAGAUCGUGCCACUGCACUCCAGCCUGGGUGACAGAGUGAGACUCCGUCUCAAAAAAUAAUAAUAAAAAUUAAAAAUUGAAAAUAAACAUGUAGCAAAAAUGAAAAAAAAAUGUAGCCUUUUUAAUUUAAACCCCAAACCAAGCAAAGCUAAGUAAUGUAUCAUUCUUGAGAUAGACACAUAUAUAUGUGCUAAAACUAUUUUUUUAAAGGAGGUAAUGAUUAACCCAAAAUUUCAGUGAUGGAGGCCCUCUAGGGGGCAGAGGCAGGAGGCAGUGUUGGGAGGAGCAGGCCAGCAGACACCAUGGUGUCGGUAGGUAACCUUCCAAUUCCGGACUUGAUGACUGGCUCACGAGUGAUCCAUUAUGAUGCUUUAUGAUGUACCUCUGUGUGUUAGAUGUAGAUUGUUUUGUAUGUUUUAAAUAUUCCAUAAUUAACAAUUAAAUGUAAAUACCCUGGGGGAGAUCAGCCGCCGAUCUUAUCUGUCCAUUUGGCUUCAGAGUGGUUUUGCUCAGCCGGCAUUUUCCCCCCAAGAGGGUUUGAAGCCACAGGAGAGACGUUCAUAUAUUUAACAGAGUUCACCAUUUGACCAUCUUGCUUAGGAUAACUCAGAGUCUGUCUGUCCUUCCUAGAGAUGGGCCACUACUGACUGCAAAGACGAGAUUCCCUCUGUUUUCACAUGUGUGGAAUCAUCAGGGUUUUUGUUGAGUGCCCUUGUUAGGGCCAGUUCCUUGGAAAAGGGUCCUAUAGGAAAACCUAACCACGACCAAAGCGGAGAAGAAUCAUUCACCUCGCCCCUCAGAGCGCUCAGCCCACUGCACCCCGAUGCUCCCGUGAUCUUUGUCUGUUCUCCCUCAAAGCCACCUCAAAUAAACAUUCUAGAAAAGAAGCAUUCUUGCCACCCAAAUGCAACUUCAAAUCCACUUUCCAUCCAGGUGACUGCCCAUCUCCUCUUCCCAGCUACUCUGCCCCGCCCCUAUCAAUGCCAGCCCCGCAGAGCAAAGCUGAGAUUCGUCCGGGAUGCUGUUCUCAGUAGACAAGCAUGGAGUGCCAGGUAUUAAUACUGGCUUUGAAGAUCGCAGGGAAGCAGGGCCAGAUUCUCCUCGCCCUCACUUUACAAUUCCCUCCUCCUCAGUUUUAAAGUGAAGAGAAAGAGGGACAUGACACAACAAACAUGCAUGUGUAAUUUUGUUGCACGUGUCUGUGCAAUUUCCAGGAAGAGAAAAGCUUCCUGGAAAGCAGGCAGGCGAUUUCAGUCCUGAGGCUGAUGUGGUCUCACUCAGGCAACGGUUUCAGCCUCCCUGGCCUCAGUUGCACCAUCUCUAAAACAGAAUGGCAUUUGCCUUGCCACCCUCCUCUCUGCUCUGUGGCCCUCACUGAGCUUCUCAAGGGUCAAGGACCAGACCUCCUUGAUUUCUGUCAGGGCUGAAUGCAGUGCCCAGGAGGGAUGGAAAGAGAAAAGAGGAACGAAGAGAAGGAGAGAGGAGAGGGUGGGAGGCGGUUCAGUUGCAGCACUGUUGAAGAGCAUAAUACGGAGAAACUUUUGUGAACUUUGGAGAGUGUUCUGCAAAUGUAAGUGAUGAAUGCCAUUAUUAAGGUCAUUUACUGCUAAUGAUCGGCAUAUGCAUAUCAAAAACAGCUCCCAGCUCUGUAAGGCAUUAGAGUGAAAGCAAGCAAUUUUUUAAUGAAACAUUUAUUUGCCUUCUUUUACUGCAGUGCUUUGAUUUAAUCGAAAUAAGCAAAAAUGGCCAAUGAUUAUAUCAACUUCUGAACUUGUUGAAUCUACUUGGAUGUUACUGUAACCCCCUAGGAGAAAAGGGAAGCAGAAAUACUAUGUAUUAAUGUUCUUAAAUUUUCUUACACUUGUAACCCUUUUUUACUUUAGAAAAGUUUAAAUGUGUGUUAUACAUAUGCAUAAUUAAUAAGGAACAGCUGCUUGAUUUAUAUAAUUAACCACAGUCAAUCUAAAAAUAAGUUUAUUUAAAUUAGUGUGAACUUCAUAGCUAAAAAUAUUUGUGAAGAAACAGUUUGGCUAUUUUUUUUCUCAUCAAAUGGGAUGUUUGAAAAUAAUAAAUAAAAGCAGCUCAAUACUAUUGGUUACUUUCUCCUAUUUCUUCUUGAACAUACCAAUCGAAUAAAAUCACUUGAAAACUCUGGCAAUGUUGAAGCUGAUUAAAUUUAUUAUUCAAGUUGAAUUCCAUAAGAAUACGAAACAAUCCGUUUCUGGAAGUAAUUCAGUUACUGGCCAUUUUUUCUCACUGAAAUUUAAGUAUAAGUUUUGAGCUCUAAUACAAGUUCCAAGUUUAAUAUCAAUUAAUUGUGUAUUUUUGCUACCUAUGAGCUUUAUAGGUGUACUUUAAUAACUGGCUUUAAAAGAUAAACCAAAAAAGAUUAAUUGCUUAAGCAAAAUGGUGUGUUUCCAAUUAGUGUCAUCCUUUCUGUUAAUUGGAGACAGGUUAAUAAAACAUGGGUCAGUAACACUACGACUUUUUUCCCCCAACAUCCCCGAAAUAAAAUUUAUUGUUCCACUAGGAAAAUGUAAGCGGUGCAUUAUCUUUUCCUCAAGUGCUUAAGCAUUAUGUCCUGUGAUGGAUGGGUACGACAGGCAGUGGCGGGGUAGGCAAAGGAAGUGGGCAGGCUUGUUUCCAGCUGAUGACCUUUGAAAAGUUCACGACCAGCAAACAUUCAUCCUGCUGCCAAAAUAGCGGAUGAUUUCAAAGUCACGGUGUUAAGCGGGUUGCUAAGGAAGUGUUACGGUGGAGGCUAUUGUGUAGCUGAAGUGGUUGUUAUGGCCACUCUGCAUGUUAGAAAAAUGUCAAUUAUUCUGAAGAGGUUAGCAAUGCUACCUGGCAUCUGCUCCACAAUGGUGAUUAUGAUAUCACCGUUCUUGUUGUAGCAACAAGCCAGUCUCUGAAAUGUUUUCCAGAGGUUUGCAUUUGUUGACUCCAUUGACUAUUUUCUUGAUAAUGUAGCUGGGAUAAACUAGAAAACAAGUUUCCCCAUGGUCAGCUGGAAAUACUCAUAUUGCACUUGGACGGAGCAGAUUGUUUCUGAAGAGGGCCAGUGAUGAGCACCAGUUCCCUCCUUGCCCAGGCCAACAGCGUUUCACAGGACCCCUGGGAUCGUCCUGAUGGUUCUCUUCCAAACAAUGAUCUAGAAAGAUGCCCCGUGUCAAGUUGCUUGCCUUUCGAAGGUCUUCAAAUCAUUGUUCCUCCAUAUCAUAUUCAGAGCUAGUGCUUUCAUGCUGAUGUGGAAACAUCUAAGAGGACUCAUAAUGUCAACAUGCAUUUCCCCAAUAAGUAAACAAGAGAAAUGACA
This 8906-nucleotide long non-coding RNA is filed under the name Homo sapiens (human). RNAcentral's name for it is "HSALNT0338418". The record is from RNAcentral. Lineage: Eukaryota; Metazoa; Chordata; Mammalia; Primates; Hominidae.